RNAcentral lists this ribosomal RNA (420 nucleotides) under uncultured archaeon. RNAcentral's name for it is "partial 16S ribosomal RNA". It matches the Rfam family "Archaeal small subunit ribosomal RNA", at positions 323 to 746 of the family's 1478-position model. The record is from RNAcentral.
CUACGGGGCGCAGCAGUUAGGCAUCUUCUGCAAUGCGCGAAAGCGUGACAGAGCGAACCAAAGUGCGUCUCAAUGAGACGCUUUUGCCAAAUCCAAAAAGUUUGGCGAAUAAGGACUGGGUAAGACUAGUGCCAGCCGCCGCGGUAAUACUAGCGGUCCAAGUCGCAGCCAUCAUUAUUGGGUCUAAAACAUCCGUAGCUUGCUUAAUAAGUUUCUUGUGAAAUCUUAUAUCUCAAGUAUAAGGCGCGCAAGAAGUACUGUUAAGCUAGAGAUUGGAAGACGUAGGAAGUACAAUCAAAGUAGCGGUAACAUGUGUUGAUCUUGGUUGGACUCACAACAGCGAAGGCAUCCUACGAGUACAGUUCUGACAGUAAGGGAUGAAGGCUAGGGGCGCAAAAUGGAUUAGAUACCCUGGUAGUC